This 485-nucleotide ribosomal RNA is filed under the name uncultured bacterium. RNAcentral's name for it is "bacterial SSU rRNA". It matches the Rfam family "Bacterial small subunit ribosomal RNA", at positions 28 to 533 of the family's 1533-position model. The record is from RNAcentral.
GAUGAACGUUGGCGGUGUGCCUAAUACAUGCAAGUCGAACGGAGACUGUAGCAAUACUGUCUUAGUGGCGAACGGGUGAGUAACGCGUUGGUGAUCUGCCUCGAAGUGUGGAAUAACCUCCCGAAAGGGAAGCUAAUACCGCAUAGUCUCUCAAGGUUUAGAAAAUUGAGAGUAAAGGAUUUAUUCGCUUCGAGAGGAGCCUGCGUCCCAUCAGCUAGUUGGUAGGGUAACGGCCUACCAAGGCAAUGACGGGUAGGGGACCUGAGACGGGUGCCCCGACAAGUGGAACUGAAACACGGUCCAUACACCUACGGGUGGCAGCAGUAGGGAAUAUUAGAAAUGGGCGGAAGCCUGAUCUAGCAACACCGCGUGUGCGAUGAAGGCCUUGGGUCGUAAAGCACUUUUUGGAGGGAAUAGGAAGGAAGGUACCUCCAGAAUAAGUCUCGGCUAACUACGUGCCAGCAGCCGCGGUUAAAACGCUACUG